UACAGGACUUGGUACCAGCUGACACACGUGGCUGACAGCAGCUGAUAAUGAAGCCUUUUCUCCCUGGUAAAGGUCCUGAACUACUUCAGUGAAGAAAAUGAACAGUGUCCACUACUCAAUAGAGGUCUCAUUCUAGAAGGAGAAAUAGAACAAAAAAUAAAAAGAGGAAAUUAUAUAUGAAAUCUCCAGAGUGGAGAAAGUUAGACAUUUUAGUCAAGGUCAUGAGGAAACACCUCAGUGAGAAGGGAUGGAAUGUGGCUGUCCAGGCAAGGAGCUUCUUAGGCAAUAGAAAAUCAGUCCUCUCCUGAACUGCAUCUGACUGAUAAUCUCAUAUAUUGACUUAAAAAUAGGGCACUUUCUUCAACUAGGAGACCUUUGCCAGAGCAUGUGAAGACCUUCUUGGCAAACACCAGCCAUGCUCACUUCUCACCAUCCCCCAGUGCCACCUACUCUCUGCUCAACACUCUCCAUGCCCCUCCCAGAGCCAUUGAUCCCGUUCCACCAGAAGAUCACAUCUUAGAAAUGCCCCAGACAUCGUUGGACAUUUCUUCAUGCUUCAUGAGCUUCAAAAUCUUUUAAAAAUUUAAUGCGCUUAUGAAUCUCUAACAAGCUCCUAAAUAACUUGUAUGCUAUUGUUAAAAAACUCCAAAUAUUAAUAAGUAUUAGUAAAAUGUUGCUGUUAAUAGUAAAUCAGCUAAGCGUCAAAAUGCUACCUGGAAAAGCAAGCAGAAUAGACAUUCCAAUGUUAAAGGGCAUCAAGAGCAAGACUCUUAAAGAGCCUAUGAAAUCAUUUAAGUGUGAGAUAAAAAGGUUGGGAAUUUCAUACAUAUUUAGCAUUGCCUGAGAAAUGUCUCUAAGUUUUUCUUUUUUCACUCUAGAAUAUUACCAAAGUUGCAGUUAAUUACAUUUCUGCUGCUACAAAAACAUUUUUUCAUGCCUCAGUGAUUCAUGAAUCUUCCAUUGUGUGUAUUAGGCAGCAGCUCUUGUAGACAAUGACAGAGAAUAAAAUGCUUCCAGAGGAAACACGAUUCAGGUGUCUGUUUUUGGGUUAUGCGGUGUCAGAUUGGUCCCAUUGUGCUUCAGAGAGCAUUUGUUAUUUUGUGAUAUGGCUACAGACAGGUUUAAGAUCCAGAUCAUCAUCUUACUUCAAAGAGUGUGAAUAAAUGAUUCAAGAAAGAAAAAUAAGAAUGGAGUAUUUGGAUAACAAUAUAUUCUCAAUUUAAAACGGUUUAUGAAGGGAACAAACAUACCAUGCAAAUGAGAAGCAGUUUUAGAAGGGGAAGUGUUGUGCUUCAUCACAACUAAUUAUUACUUGAAUAUUUAUUAGUAGUAUGAGAAACUAAAUGUCUAUGGCCAUACCACCCUGAACGUGCCGGAUCUCAUCUGAAAAGGAAAAAAUAGCUUCUACUUUCAAUGGUGAGAUAUAAACAAAAGUUCUCUUUCAUUACGCUUAACAAAAAAUGUGCAUCUUUAAAUUUUUUUUUUUUUUUUUGAGAUGGAGUCAUGCCCUGUCACCCAGGCUGGAGUGUAGUGGCCCGAUCUCAGCUCACUGCAAGCUCUGCCUCCCAGGUUCAUGUGAUUCUCCUGCCUCAACCUCCCCAGUAGCUGGGACUACAAAUGCACACCACCAUGCCCUGUUA
This 1640-nucleotide long non-coding RNA is filed under the name Homo sapiens (human). Its description in RNAcentral is "HSALNT0048355". Lineage: Eukaryota; Metazoa; Chordata; Mammalia; Primates; Hominidae. The record is from RNAcentral.